UAGAAAAAGUGUGGAAAGUUGGCAGUCCGGACGGUUCAUGCAUUUGCAGAAUUUUCCUUCCGGUUACAAGAUAGAGCAAAGAAAUUUCAGUGCAGAAAAAUGAAGCCUUAUAUUCCAAUUUUUUUCCAGCUAUGUGAAAGGUAAGUAAACAUUAUUAAACAUCUAGUCAUAAUUAUUUAUUUUUAAAAUGUACCCUACGGGUAUGUAAAUUAAUAUAUGAAAAAUAUUUUAAAAAAUAUGGUAAAAUCAAAACAAUAUAUCAAAAUAAUUUGAUAUCUAUAUGUACCAGAAGUAGAAAAAAAAAAACAACAAUGCUACUGGUUGGCACUAAAAAUCCUGUUAUGAACAACAUAGUCUGGGCAAAGGAAUCCUUGUACACUUCAGUCUUCAACCUGCUAACUCUAUUCUCUUGAGCUUUCCAUUUUGCAUCCCUUUCUUAUCUAGAAGUUCAAGUCAAGCUAGCAUUGAGUUAAGAGUAAAUAAUAAGCACAGGUGAAAUGGCAAAAAUAUGUGGUGUUAGUUAAUAUCAUUCUCAAAUUCAAUCCUUCCAUAAUUCAUGUCUCAUACCAUACAAAUACUAAAAAUAUCCACUUCAUGCAGUUUCCUCCCAUUUUCUUAUGUUGACGAGGAAAUUUUCCAAGUCAACUAAACUGUUACACCAUUUUUUUAUUGAAAAACGGGGUCGACUUGGGUUUUGAAAAUGAAAAUGGGAGUCGCCACCAAUCUUUUUUAUAAGGUGUUAUUGGAUCACCUUGCAAAGCGUUGUUUUUAAUAAACAAUUUAAUUUUAUUAAAACAACGAUUUUGGUCCACGAAAUUCAGAAAAAACGGGUUCGGGAGUCGGUUACGCACGAGGAAGGAUUAGCACCCUCGAUACGCCCAAAAUUGGUACUUAGUUGAUUACUUAAAAUUUUUUUAUUUUUGUUUUUUGGCAAAUGUAUACUGUUUUUUUUAUAUAUAUGUAAAUAUAUGUAUAUAUAUAAAUAUAAAAAGAACAGAUGCAAAAAAAGAGAUGUGAAAAAGAAACCUUGAAACUUGUUUUUUUUAUUUCUUUUAAAGUUCUUGUACCAAAAUCUAAAAAAAAAAAAAAAAAACCCUAAAAUACAUUUUUCGUUGGCUUUUAUAGCCCAUCUUUGCUACCGUUUCUUGUCUUUUCUUCUUUGAUUUUGCAGGUGCAAGUGAUGGGACAGUGGCGGUGGCACUAGGUCGGCGACCAGCAGGGCAGCACCUAGGGUUUGAAAAAUUUUAAUUUUUUGUUUCUGAUUUGGGUUUCUGGGCUAGGGUUAGAUUUGGGCUUAUUAAGCUUUUUGUUUUCUGAUUUGGGCUGUGGUGUAUUGGGCUAGGCUAGUUGGAUCUGGGGCUGUUUGGUUAGGGUAAUGGGUUGUUUGUAAUUGGGCCCCGGGUCAAAAAUUGGGCCCUACAUAAACUGUUCAGUAAAUAAAAGAUUAAUGAUGCGGUCGGUCUUAUUAAAUCGUUUCAAGAUUUUUUUUAGUGGCAAUUACUAAUUACAAGUGGAAACACGAAAGGAAACUCAAGGUAGCAAAUACAAGACAACCUUGAGUUUGAGUUGGUAUGCACGAUAUUGCCGAGAUAUUACAUGAAGGGUACUAAAAUUAUUCAAAAAAAAAUGUUUCUUUUUGGGACAAUCAAAUAUUAGUUUUCAGCUUUAAAUACUUGUAAUCAAUAAUAAAUCCCUCGGAGGUUUUGCAG
RNAcentral lists this long non-coding RNA (1709 nucleotides) under Gossypium raimondii (Peruvian cotton). RNAcentral describes it as "long non-coding RNA (GRAI_LNC003102)". The record is from RNAcentral. Lineage: Eukaryota; Viridiplantae; Streptophyta; Magnoliopsida; Malvales; Malvaceae.